GCCGGCGACCAUACCACGUUGACAGCACCGGUUCUCGUCCGAUCACCGCACUUAAGCAACGUUGGGCCCGGUCAGUACUUGCAUGGGUGACCGGCUGGGAAUACCGGGUGUCGCCGGCU
Molecule: ribosomal RNA, 119 nt
Filed under: Schistosoma mansoni
Lineage: Eukaryota; Metazoa; Platyhelminthes; Trematoda; Strigeidida; Schistosomatidae
Source: RNAcentral